RNAcentral lists this ribosomal RNA (350 nucleotides) under uncultured bacterium. Its description in RNAcentral is "bacterial SSU rRNA". It matches the Rfam family "Bacterial small subunit ribosomal RNA", at positions 9 to 350 of the family's 1533-position model. The record is from RNAcentral.
GAGUUUGAUCCUGGGCUCAGGAUGAACGCUAGCUACAGGCUUAACACAUGCAAGUCGAGGGGAAACGACAUCGAAAGCUUGCUUUUGAUGGGCGUCGACCGGCGCACGGGUGAGUAACGCGUAUCCAACCUGCCCACCACUUGGGGAUAACCUUGCGAAAGUAAGACUAAUACCCAAUGACGUCUCUAGAAGACAUCUGAAAGAGAUUAAAGAUUUAUCGGUGAUGGAUGGGGAUGCGUCUGAUUAGCUUGUUGGCGGGGUAACGGCCACAAGGCGACGAUCAGUAGGGGUUCUGAGAGGAAGGUCCCCCANAUUGGAACUGAGACACGGUCCAAACUCUACGGGAGGCA